CUCACCUGAGGGGAGGACUCUGCUGAGGCCUCUUAAUGGGGACUCCCACCUGGCUGUCUCCAGGGGACUUCCCCAGCUGAUAAGGUUGGAUGUUCAUAUUUUCCUGGGGUCUUUGCCACGAUUUUAGUAUUUUACUUGCUUCUUCAUAUACUCUUACCUGGACAAAAUGACAAGGCAGAAAAAUUCACCACAAAAAAAAAAAAAAAAAAAGAAGAACAAGAGGCAGUACCAAAAGCUAGGGACCUAAUCAAUACAGACAUUGGUAACAUGUGAGAUCUAGAGUUCAAAUUGACGAUUCUCAAGGUUCUAGCCGGGCUCGAUAAAGACAUGGAAGAUAUUAGAGAAACCCUCACCAGAGAGAUAAAAGCCCUUUCUGGAGAAAUAAAAGAACUAAAAUCUAACCAAGUUGAAAUUAAAAAAGCUAUUAAUGAGGUGCAAUCAAAAAUGGAGUCUCUAGAAGACCAGAUGACACAGAAUAAAGAAGCUGUGCAAAAGAGGGACAAACAGCUACUGGACCACGAGGGGAGAAUUUGAGAGAUAAGUGACACCAUAAGACGAAACAACAUUAGAAUAAUUGAGAUUCCAGAAGAAGAAGAAAGAGAGAGUGGAGCAGAAGGUAUAUUGGAGAGAAUUAUUGGAGAGAAUUUCCCUAAUGUGGCAAAGGGAACAAGCAUAAAAAUCCAGGAGGUGCAGAGAACUCCCCCUCAAAAUCAACCAGAAUAGGUCCACACCCCAUCACCUAAUAGUAAAAUUUACAAGUCUUAGCAACAAAGAGAAAAUCCUGAAAGCAGCCCAGGAAAAGAAGUCUAUAACAUACAAUGGUAAAAAUAUUAGAUUGGCAGCAGACUUAUCCACAGAGACCUGGCAGGCCAGAAAGAACUGGCAUGAUACAUUCAGAGCACUAAACGAGAAAAACAUGCAGCCAAGAAUACUAUAUCCAGCUAGGCUAUCAUUGAAAAUAGAAGGAGAGAUAAAAAGCUUCCAAGACAAACAAAAACUGAAAGAAUUUGCAAACACCAAACCAGCUCUACAGGAAAUAUUGAAAGGAGUCCUCUGAGCAAAGAGAGAGCCUAAAAGUAGUAGAUCAGAAAGGAACAGAGACAAUAUACACUAACAGUCAACUUACAGGCUAAAUACAAUGGCACUAAAUUCAUAUCUCUCAAUAGUUACCCUGAAUGUUAAUGGGCUAAAUGUCCCAAUCAAAAGACACAGAAUCAGAAUGGAUAAAAAAACAAAACCCAUCUAUAUAUUGACUAUAAGAAACUCAUUUUAGACCUGAAGACACCUCCAGAUUUAAAGUGAGGGGGUAGAAAACAAUUUACCAUGCUAAUGGACAUCAGAAGAAAGCAGGGGUGGCAAUCCUUAUAUCAGAUCGUUUAGAUUUUAAGCCAAAAUAAGAGAUGAGGACGGACACUAUAUCAUACUCAAAGGAUCUGUCCAACAAGAAGAUCUAACAAUUUUAAAUAUCUAUGCCCCUAAAGUGGGAGCAGCCAACUAUAUAAACCAAUUAAUAACAAAAUCAAAGAAACACAUCAACAAUAAUAUGAUAAUAGUAACGGACUUUAACACUCCCCUCACUGAAAUGGACAAUCAUCCAAGCAAAAGAUCAACAAAGAAAUAAAGGCCUUAAAUGACACACUGGACCAGAUGGACAUCACAGAUAUAUUCAGAACAUUUCAUCCCAAAGCAAUAGAAGACACAUUCUCCUCUGGUGCACAUGACACAUUCUCCAGACUAGAUCACAUCCUCGGUUCUAAAUCAGGUCUCAACCGGUAUCAAAGAUUGGGAUCAUUCCCUGCUUAUUUUCAGACCACAAUGCUCUGAAGCUAGAACUCAAUCACAAGAGGAAAUUUGGAAAGAAUUAAAAUACAUGGAGACUAAACAGCAUCCUUCUAAAGAAUGAAUGGGUCAGGGCGCCUGGGUGGCUCAGUGGGAAAAAGCCUCUGCCUUCAGCUCAGGUCAUGAUCUUAGGGACCUGGGAUCGAGCCCCACAUCAGGCUCUCUGCUCAGCAGGGAGCCUGCUUCCUCCUCUCUCUCUCUGUCUACUUGAGAUCUCUGCCUAUAAAAUAAAUAAAUAAAAUCUUU
Long non-coding RNA from Mustela lutreola (European mink), 2085 nucleotides. RefSeq lists it as uncharacterized. Lineage: Eukaryota; Metazoa; Chordata; Mammalia; Carnivora; Mustelidae. The record is from RefSeq and is a predicted model, not a curated record. The transcript is spliced from 2 exons.